UAUUAGAUGACUGAAAGUAAGUAAUGGUCUCUUAAACCAGCUCAUGGUAAUUAACAAUCACCUCUAAUAA
RNAcentral lists this transfer RNA (70 nucleotides) under Staphylinoidea sp. 12 KM-2017. RNAcentral describes it as "tRNA-Lys". Lineage: Eukaryota; Metazoa; Arthropoda; Insecta; Coleoptera. The record is from RNAcentral.